Molecule: transfer RNA, 73 nt
Organism: Saprolegnia diclina VS20
Lineage: Eukaryota; Oomycota; Saprolegniomycetes; Saprolegniales; Saprolegniaceae
Rfam family: tRNA
About the family: Transfer RNA (tRNA) molecules are approximately 80 nucleotides in length. Their secondary structure includes four short double-helical elements and three loops (D, anti-codon, and T loops).
Source: Rfam
GGUCUUGUAGUGUAGCGGUUAUCACGUCUCCUUGACGUGGAGAAGGCCCCCGGUUCAAGUCCGGGCAAGACCA